Myzus persicae (green peach aphid) is the source of this 479-nucleotide long non-coding RNA. RefSeq lists it as uncharacterized. The record is from RefSeq and is a predicted model, not a curated record. The transcript has 2 exons. Lineage: Eukaryota; Metazoa; Arthropoda; Insecta; Hemiptera; Aphididae.
AUGUUUUAUACUAUGUUUAUGGGAAUAAAUGUAGUUUACCACCCAAUCGAUUUUUUGGUAAUUUUUUUUUUUAAUGUGUUUUUGGCAUGCUUAAUUUGAUGGUACUUUCAAAAAGUUGCUCAAACGUCCUUAAUAAAGUUAUGGUUAAAACAUUUUAAAUCCUCGAUAUUUUCAAAAAUUGUGUUUUUUUAGUUUAAAUGCCAUAAAUUUGUAUUUUUGGAAAUUUGUAUUUUGGAAUUGUUGGAAUUUAUAUACUCAACAUUUGGUGAAAUCUGAAUGUACCUGUCAGACUACUAGAAAAAAAGUUCUUGUCAAACGUACUGGCGGUUGAUGACUCCGCCCACCACGAGGCGUUCAACAUGUUGUACCGCCACCUGCAUAUUUUGAAAGCGCACACCCUUUGCGUAUGAACGUUACCUAAACUACUUUUUCAAUUUUAUCAAAUUCUCGAAGGAAAUAAACAUUUUUAAUAUUAUCAA